This 406-nucleotide ribosomal RNA is filed under the name uncultured bacterium. Its description in RNAcentral is "partial 16S ribosomal RNA". It matches the Rfam family "Bacterial small subunit ribosomal RNA", at positions 30 to 526 of the family's 1533-position model. The record is from RNAcentral.
AUUGAACGCUGGCGGCAGGCCUAACACAUGCAAGUCGAACGAGUGGCGGACUGGUGAGUGAUGUCUGGGAAACUGCCUGAUGGAGGGGGCUAACUGCUGGAAACGUUGGCUAAUACCGCAUAACAUGCGAUGUGCCCACGUUGGAUUAGCUUGUUGGUGGGGUAACGGCUCACCAAGGCGACGAUCCCUAGCUGGUCUGAGAGGAUGACCAGCCACACUGGGACUGAGACACGGCCCAGACUCCUACGGGAGGCAGCAGUAGGGAAUAUUGCGCAAUGGGCGAAAGCCUGAUGCAGCCAUGCCGCGUGAAUGAAGAAGGCCUUCGGGUUGUAAAGCACUUUUAUCAGGGAGGCGUUACCCGCAGAAGAAGCACCGGCUAACUCCGUGCCAGCAGCCGCGGUAAUAC